GGGUUAUAUUAUACAUAUUAUUAGUGGGCUAUCCACCUUUCUGGGAUGAAGAUCAGCACAGGUUAUAUGCACAGAUCAAGGCUGGGGCUUAUGAUUAUCCAUCUCCUGAAUGGGAUACGGUGACUCCUGAAGCUAAGAAUCUGAUAAACAGCAUGCUGACCGUCAACCCAGCAAAACGAAUAACUGCAACCGAAGCCCUUAAGCACCCUUGGAUUUGUCAAAGAGAGCGUGUUGCCUCUACACUUCAUCGCCAAGAAACUGUGGAAUGUUUGAAGAAGUUUAAUGCUAGACGAAAACUUAAAGGAGCUAUUUUGACUACAAUGUUAGCAACAAGGAAUUUUUCUAGUCGCAGCAUUAUGACAAAAAAAGGAGAAGGAUCACAGGUAAAAGAAUCUACUGACAGUAGCACAACACUUGAAGAUGAUGAGGUGAAAGAUGGCACUCAUUCUGGACCCGAACGGAGUAAAACUGUUAUACAAGUAGAUCAAGUAAAAUCCUCUAUCAGCGAUAAUAAAAUAAUCCAUAAAAGAUCAUCGGACAAUAUUCAACUAACAGCUAUAGCAGCAGCACUGAAGAAUAAUAAUGGUGGCAUCUUGGAUCCACGAAAACAAGAGAUAAUCAAAAUUACAGAACAAGUGAUAGAAGCCAUCAGUAAUGGCGAUUUUGAAAUGUACACGAAAUUUUGUGAUCCUCAGAUGACAGCAUUUGAACCUGAAGCCCUAGGUUUGAUUUUUGUCAAGGGCUGGAGAUUGAUGACUUCACUGACCUUUGACUUUCCACCAUUCCUAUCCUGCCUUCAUAAAUACAUGGAGCUUCUGAUGUUUUAGGGAAAAACAACAAGGCAUUAAAUACAACGAUCCUGAACCCAACUGUCCAUUUGUUAGGAGACGAUGCAGCGUGCAUUGCUUAUAUCCGUCUCACACAAUUCAUGGACAAAUCUGGUUUGGCACACACUCAAC
RNAcentral lists this unclassified non-coding RNA (959 nucleotides) under Centruroides sculpturatus (bark scorpion). Its description in RNAcentral is "calcium/calmodulin-dependent protein kinase type II alpha chain-like, transcript variant X9". The record is from RNAcentral. Lineage: Eukaryota; Metazoa; Arthropoda; Arachnida; Scorpiones; Buthidae.